RNAcentral lists this unclassified non-coding RNA (278 nucleotides) under plant metagenome. RNAcentral's name for it is "partial contains small subunit ribosomal RNA and internal transcribed spacer 1". The record is from RNAcentral.
AAGUCGGUAACAAGGUUUCCAAGUAGGUGAACCUGCGGGAAGGCAUCAUUAAACAAAGUAAAGGCUGGUAGGCAAAGGUGGGGUCGGUUGAAGUCUGUAAGUGGUAGAGCGAACAGUCCGGCUGCCUCCCCGAAAAUGUCUUACAUGUCCCCCCACAGCCUGAAGGCCGAAUUACAACCCUUGAUUAUCUACACUUGUUGCUUUGGGGUGCUCAAGUGCCCCAGAGGACCCAACUCUCUUGCAUUUAGUGACGUCUGAGUACUAUAUAAUAUUUAAAA